UCCUGACAUACAGCGGUAUAAUGGCAAC
RNAcentral lists this non-coding RNA (28 nucleotides) under Mus musculus (house mouse). Lineage: Eukaryota; Metazoa; Chordata; Mammalia; Rodentia; Muridae. The record is from RNAcentral.